This 429-nucleotide ribosomal RNA is filed under the name Fusobacteriota bacterium. Its description in RNAcentral is "Fusobacteria bacterium partial 16S ribosomal RNA". It matches the Rfam family "Bacterial small subunit ribosomal RNA", at positions 355 to 776 of the family's 1533-position model. The record is from RNAcentral. Lineage: Bacteria; Fusobacteriati; Fusobacteriota.
UGGGGAAUAUUGCGCAAUGGGCGAAAGCCUGACGCAGCGACGCCGCGUGAGGGAUGAAGGUUUUCGGAUCGUAAACCUCUGUCAGAAGGGAAGAAACCGCACUGUGCUAAUCAGCAGUGCCUUGAGGGUACCUUCAAAGGAAGCACCGGCUAACUCCGUGCCAGCAGCCGCGGUAAUACGGAGGGUGCAAGCGUUAAUCGGAAUUACUGGGCGUAAAGCGCACGUAGGCUGCUUUGUAAGUCAGGGGUGAAAUCCCGCGGCUCAACCGAGGAACUGCCUUUGAUACUGCUUAGCUUGAAUCCGGGAGAGGGUGGCGGAAUGCCAGGUGUAGGAGUGAAAUCCGUAGAUAUCUGGAGGAACAGCAGUGGCGAAGGCGGCCACCUGGACCGGUAUUGACGCUGAGGUGCGAAAGCGUGGGGAGCAAACAGG